GGAAGUAAAAGUCGUGACAAGGUUUCCGUAGGUGAACCUGCGGAAGGAUCAUUAUUGGAUUUUGAAACUUCAGGCUGCUGCUGGCUCUCCUCGGAGGGCAUGUGCACGCUUGUUGUCCAUUAUUUCUCCCACUGUGCACAAAUUGUAGACCUUUCAGUAGGCCUAUGUUGUUUUUCACAAUCUCUGAAUGUAAUAGAAUGGUUUUGAAUCUUGGGAAAUACAAUACAACUUUCAGCAACGGAUCUCUUGGCUCUC
RNAcentral lists this unclassified non-coding RNA (255 nucleotides) under plant metagenome. RNAcentral describes it as "partial contains small subunit ribosomal RNA, internal transcribed spacer 1, and 5.8S ribosomal RNA". The stretch from base 1 to 54 matches the Rfam family "Eukaryotic small subunit ribosomal RNA", at positions 1778 to 1831 of the family's 1831-position model. The record is from RNAcentral.